UCCCCCCCCCCCUCCCGAUGGCAUUCCACCGCCGCUCCAUCGCCUCCCUGGCGCAGCGGCCGCUCCAUCAUCUCUCCUCAGGGCAAUCUCUUCCUAUCUAUCACUUCUCCACCGAUUCCCACCCCAGCAGCCCGCAACCUCUAUCCAGGCCUCACAAGAUCUUGUCAACCCCCAACUAGGUUGGGCAGAGGCCUCCAGCCGAGUCGGAGGAGAACACUACCACUGAGGGAUCAAACCCUAGAACCGCAGGCGGCUGUGCGGAGGAUUGAGGUCGACGAUGGUGGUCGCAGCAGGUCAUCAGCUCAGCUCGCCCUCUUCUCUCUCCCACUGCCCCCAUCACCAUCACCCUCUCCUUCAUGCGUUCUUGCUCGUCUUUAGGCAUGUGUGCGAAGGCUCGCCAUGGACAAUCAAGACGGCGGAGUGAGGCGCAGCCGCGCAGUUUCGCAUUUGCUGUCCUACAACCCUGCUCCUUGUCGUCUGCACUGCGUAAACAAAUGCUUUGAUGAGGAUGCUUAAUUGGUCUGACAAUCGUAUAUUGCAAAAUGUACAACUAGAGGAACAUCUAGCAGCAAGUACUUAAGGUUGUAUGUCUCCUAGGUUGAAUCAUUCACUAUGAGUUUUAAGAAUGGUUGAUCAAAUGGAGAUGUUCAGCUCUAAGUAAAGCAGACCUUAUGAUGGAGAAGAUAUGUAGGCAAAAUUGCUGGCACGAUAUUGGGCAUAGCUGAUGCAGCAUAGGUUGAUGAAAGUUGCAUUAAACAUGAUGGACAUCGCCCACAAUGACAUUGCAUGUGUGAUGAACUUGCCAUCUCAUAAGUGGGACAAGACCAGAUAGUUUGUUGGCGAGAUCAGCGAUGUGAUUCAGGCAAAUUAAGGGUGCAAUGAACCAUCUGGAAAUGUUCAGUUCUCAAGUGUACUCACAAGUAAGUAGUUACACUGACAUAAGAUUUUGUUUCAGAUUCUGUAUGACAACGGCGCAAGGAAGUUCUGGAUACACGUCGCAGGUGCCCCUUGGCUGCCUGUGGGUGUUCGUGAUGUGGGAGCAGGGUGAACUCCACACAUAGGUCUACAUUGUGAACCACAACCGAGUUGACAUGGGCCUUAAAAAGAAGCUGAGUGACCUCUGCGACGAGGUGCGGUUGCGCUCGAAGAAUGCCAUCAAGUAUGGCUUAUUUGACAACCACACCAAAUACGGGUAAAGCAGUCAGGAGACUGUCGAUGAGCUCAACACAAGGAGUGGACGAGCUGAAGAAUGAGCCUCGGUUUCCAAGCUUAAGCAGAAGAACGUUGUUAGGCUUCUUGGUGUCUGCUUGGAGUACCAGAAGCGGCUUCUCGUCUACGAGUACGCCUCAAACCAGAGGCUUAUUUCAGUUUGUAUCUCCAUCUUCUCUUCAGUGUUUCAUGCUUUCUUAACUUAUUUCAGUUUGUAGAUACAAUAGUAUAUAUUUUCUUGUACAGAUUUCAUGUAAUCGAUAUAGGGUAGACAUGGCUAAUUAACUCAAUUUCAUUUGAUUCGCAGCUUUAUAAACAUCUAACUUGUAAAUAUUACCACUUAUGCCAGAUUUAUUCCAGUUAAUGCAGGACUCUAAUCAAUGGUUAGGAUUAAUUAUCUAUGAGUUAAAUUGUGUUGUUAAUUUAGAUUGGCCAGCUAAUGUGUGCAUCCUACACUGAGUAGCUCGGCCUGGGCAGAACCAGUCGUGAUCUAGAACUGAUGUCCUCCACCCUAUUUAGUUAGUUGAUUGGUCAAUGCAUGCAUCCAGCCUAAAACUAAAAGAGAAGCAAAGUUUCAUCUCUGGAGUCCGUAAAUAAGGUCAUAAGUUGAAUUGCGAUGGAUCCAGAGCAAAGUUUCCUACUUGGGUAAUAUAUGACCAAUCCUGCUUUCACAUGUUGCAUUGUGUUGUCCAACAGUUUAUUUUUUUAGGCUACACUGAAGUUGCAAAAACUGUUAAUUCGUCGACUUAAACUUUGGUUUAGCAAAAGUGGUUUUAGAUAAAACAUCUAAUGCCCAUGGAUGUCAUAAUUAUCUAGCAAAUGAUUGUCAAUAUACUGUUUCAGUUUUCGUAUACAAACUGCUGAGUAUAGUGUUAUCCAAAUGCCCACCAUCAUUCUUACCUAUAUUUGGAGCUAUACAGUUUUUAUCUGUUUCAGUGUCGUUUAAAUUAUAGCAUCAUGUUCUUCUGAUGCUGCUAUUAUAUUGAUUCGUCUGCUUAUGGAUAGCUCCUGUAAGUGCAGAUAUGGUUGGUGACCUGGAACGUUGGCGUUCUUGGCCUGGUCACGCUGUCAGGCAACAGAGGAAGAGGGGCCUGAGAAAUCAGAAAUGGACAAACAUAUCAGCCUGAAAGGUGAAUAUCUAGGCGUGGACUCAAUCACCAGAAGCUUGUCCGUCAAGUGCAGCAGUGCCAGCGGCGCACGGCUGUUGAAAUGGCACAAUGCUCCUUUUCCACUGAACUUCACAUCUAUUAAAUGUUUUUUGCUCAUGUAUCUCUGCAGGCCUACUUCGGCAUGGAGGCAACGCUCUGGUGACCCUGUACAUGGCAGUAUGGGUAAGGGCCAGAUCUUGGUGAACGGCCACAGCGCAGGGAUAUGUGUGAAGAGUUUGCAGGGAAGUGGAAAAGCGAUGUCAGUUCAUCAUAAUACAUUAACUGGUUUUGUAAGUUGUUAAACCUGCAAAUACAAUGCUCAGACGUUGUGAUUGGAGUGCACUUGGCCGGCGAGGAGGUGCUUGUUAGACCAUUAGACAUUCAUGUACAUGCUCGAACCUACUUCCAGGAUGUUCGAUUAUCUAUUUUUUAAGAUGGCCGACUAGGAUGUCCACAAUCA
Lolium rigidum is the source of this 2817-nucleotide RNA transcript. RefSeq lists it as uncharacterized. Lineage: Eukaryota; Viridiplantae; Streptophyta; Magnoliopsida; Poales; Poaceae. The transcript is spliced from 7 exons. The record is from RefSeq and is a predicted model, not a curated record.